GGGGUUGUGGCUCAGCAAUAGAGCGCCCACCUCACAUGUGUGAGACCCUGGGUUCGAUCCUCAGCACCA
RNAcentral lists this transfer RNA (69 nucleotides) under Ictidomys tridecemlineatus (thirteen-lined ground squirrel). Its description in RNAcentral is "Spermophilus tridecemlineatus (thirteen-lined ground squirrel) tRNA". It matches the Rfam family "tRNA". Rfam says of the family: Transfer RNA (tRNA) molecules are approximately 80 nucleotides in length. Lineage: Eukaryota; Metazoa; Chordata; Mammalia; Rodentia; Sciuridae. The record is from Rfam by way of RNAcentral.